This is a small nuclear RNA of Cercocebus atys (sooty mangabey), 102 nucleotides long. The record is from Ensembl. NCBI's taxonomy places the organism in Eukaryota, Metazoa, Chordata, Mammalia, Primates, Cercopithecidae.
GUGUUGCUUUAGCAGCACAUAUACAAAAAUUGGAAUGAUACAGAGAUUAGCAUGAUGCCUGACCAAGGAGGACAUGCAAAUUAUGAAAUGUUUUAUAUUUUU